UACGUAGGGCGCAGGCGUUGUCCGGAAUUAUUGGGCGUAAAGAGCUCGUAGGCGGCUUGUUGCGUCGGUUGUGAAAGCCCGGGGCUUAACCCCGGGUCUGCAGUCGAUACGGGCAGGCUAGAGUGUGGUAGGGGAGAUCGGAAUUCCUGGUGUAGCGGUGAAAUGCGCAGAUAUCAGGAGGAACACCGGUGGCGAAGGCGGAUCUCUGGGCCAUUACUGACGCUGAGGAGCGAAAGCGUGGGGAGCGAACAGG
Molecule: ribosomal RNA, 253 nt
Filed under: uncultured bacterium
Lineage: Bacteria
Description: partial 16S ribosomal RNA
Rfam family: Bacterial small subunit ribosomal RNA
Source: RNAcentral